AGUGCUCGUGAUUCCAUCCCAGCAGCAGCUAGCAACCACAAUUCCAGGGCUUAUCGCCAGCAACAUCAGAAAAUUAAGAUUUUCCCUAGACCAUGACCAUCAUCCGACAGAUCGGUAGCAACAACGUUCAACUGACGGUAGAACCUGGCCAGCAACCGCAACUAGUGCAAUCGAUCCAAGCCAAUCAGGGCCAAAUGUAGAAGACCAUUGGUCAACCGCAAAAAAAAAGAUACAUAAACAGCACCUUCAAACACAGUAGCAGCAGCAUACUGUACUGUACCACGCCGCGCGCAGGAGGACUUUUUUUAUUCAGUUGGUGCAGCAAGAUCGAACAGCAACCAUAGCGGAUACACAUCACCGAACACCAGCAACAUAAUGCCAUGGUAACCACCCAGCAGCAGAACACGGUGAUAAUGGGCCAACAGUAAAUACAACAUCACGAUCCUCGGAAAGGACUUUCUCUUUCGAACAAACAUAAUGGAAGCAUACUCUACACGCACGACAUAUUCAAUCGGGCCAACCGUGUGACUCGUUUGGAAAAAAGCGCUCAUCAUCGGUUUCAUGGCAGUGAAGUGAGCAGACAA
Long non-coding RNA from Topomyia yanbarensis, 584 nucleotides. RefSeq lists it as uncharacterized. The record is from RefSeq and is a predicted model, not a curated record. NCBI's taxonomy places the organism in Eukaryota, Metazoa, Arthropoda, Insecta, Diptera, Culicidae. The transcript has 3 exons.